UACGGGGGGGGCAAGCGUUGUUCGGAAUUACUGGGCGUAAAGGGCGCGUAGGCGGGUGGACAAGUCUCUCGUGAAAGCCCACGGCUCAACCGUGGAAUUGCGGGAGAUACUGUCUGUCUUGAGUCCGGGAGAGGAGGGUGGAAUUCCCAGUGUAGCGGUGAAAUGCGUAGAUAUUGGGAGGAACACCGGUGGCGAAGGAGGCUCUCUGGACCGGUACUGACUAUGAGGCGCGAAAGCUAGGGGAGCAAACGGG
RNAcentral lists this ribosomal RNA (253 nucleotides) under uncultured bacterium. Its description in RNAcentral is "partial 16S ribosomal RNA". It matches the Rfam family "Bacterial small subunit ribosomal RNA", at positions 524 to 776 of the family's 1533-position model. The record is from RNAcentral.